CCUCAAGCAUUCAGUCAUUAAUUCAUCAUUCUUCUUCUGCACGUCUUUAUUCUCUUCUCCUCUUUAAAAUAUUUCUCCAUAUUAUUAAGCCUUUUUAAGGCCUUGGAAUCGCAAUAAAGAAUCACGUUUUCAGCAAUUUUAUUUUUCACGUUCAUCUUCAAAAGGUGAGAUACUCAGUGCUAUUAGUGGUUUGUCCACAUCUUUUCAAAUACGUUGUUAUGUAUGGAUUUAAUUACUCCAGUUCAGAGCUCCUUUGGGAGAAAUCAUGAUACAGUUUAAGGCACAAUUUAGCCUUCACGUUAUUUGCAGCGCUUGCUUGAAUUAUCAUUUGUCAUGGUGUGAUAAUUCUCAUGUUAUGUUGGUAAGAGAAUUUAUGCAUAAUUUCACGUUUGAUUUGAAUGUGGAGUAGCAAGUAUCUCAUUGAGUAUAAUUCGUUAUACUCAUCCCUCUCUAUUUAAAAUUUUCAGGUAGAAAUUAGUAUGCUGGACGGCGGUGGAUGGAUGCAUAUUGGACCAAUGGAUCUCCAUCAUGAAGUACUUUAAUUUUUAAAAACACUAGAAUAUUUAUUAACAGUUGAUUAUUAUUAUUUUUAAAUUUAGACUCAAUUGUGAGUCACGUCAUAACUUUCAAUUAGUCCUAUUUUUAUUAUUUGUUAGAACUACUUUUAUUAAUGUUUGAUAAAAGAUAUGAUUCCAAAUUGUUCCGCAUAUGUUAUUUAAUUUAAUUUACCUUUUGUUAAGGUUGUUCAAUUUUUACUGAAUUCCUCGUUAUAUUAAAAUGUAUUUGCCUCAAGCACUUUAUUAAUCAAUUCACGUUUGGUAACGUUCCGGGUUGCUAAAGAAUUCGGGGCGUUACAGCAAGAGUCUUGAUGAGCGUGUGGAACAUCUAAAAUGUGUGCUUGCGAUUUUAAGAAAGGAACAACUUUUUGCCAAUUUUAAAAAGUAUACAUUUUGCAUGGAUAGGUUGUAUUCUUAAGCUUUUUGGUUAGUGUUAAUGGUGUAGAGGUAGAUGAAGAGAAAAUAAAAGCUAUUAAGGAUUGGCCAACACCUAAGAACAUAACCGAGGUUCGAAGUUUUCAUGGAUUGACUAGUUUUUAUAGGCGUUUUGUUAGAGAUUUUAGCACAAUUACCACACCCUUAACUGAAAUUGUCAAGAAAAAUAUAGGAUUUCAUUGGGAGUUAGAGCAAGAACAUGCAUUCAACACUAUCAAAGAUUGUUUGUGUAAAGCACCAAUUUUAGCACUUCCUAACUUUGACAAAACUUUCAAGAUUGAGCAUGAUGCAUCAGGAAUAGAUAUAGGAGCAAUCUUAAUGCAGGAUAAGAGACCUAUAGCAUACUUUAGUGAAAAGCUAAGUGGUGCGGCUCACAAUUAUCCUACAUACGACAAGGAACUCUAUUCACUUAUUCGAGCUUUGGAAACAUGGCAGCAUUACCUAUGGCCGAAAGAGUUUGUAAUUCAUUUAGAUCAUGAAUCACUGAAACAUUUGCGGGGUCAAGGUAAGUUGAACAAACGACAUGCACACUGGAUGGAAUUCAUCGAAACUUUUUUCAUAUGUCAUCCGUUACAAACAAGAUAAGGAAAAUGUAGUAGCAGAUGCAUUGUCAUGCAGGUAUGUGCUUCUAACUACUUUAGAUGCAAAAUUGCUUGGUUUUGAGUAUAUUAAGGAUAUGUAUGUUACUGAUUCUAAUUUUUUCGACAUUUACAAUUCAUGUGACAAUGGGGCUAUAGAUAAGUUCUUUAAGCAUGAGAGAUACGUAUUUCGGGAGAGUAAAUUAUGCUUUCCUAAUUGCUCUAUGCAUGAACUAUUGGUUAGAGAAGCAUAUAGUGGGGGACUUAUAGGUCACUUUAGGGUAGUAAAAACUUUAGAGAUAUUGACUGAAUAUUUCUAUUGGCCUAAAAUGAAAGUUGAUGCAGGAAGGGUUUGUAGUCGAUGCAUAAAAUUUAGAUAGGGCAAAUCUAGGGUCUUAUCUCAUGGACUGUAUACACCUUUGUCAGUACCUAGUGAAUCCUGGGUAGAUAUUUCAAUGGACCUUGUGUUAGAUUUGCCUAGGACUAAAAAGGGGCAAGAUUCAAUUUUUGUAGUGGUGGAUAGGUUUAGUAAAAUGACACAUUUUAUUCCAUGUCACAAAACUGAUGAUGCCACUAACAUUGAAGAUUUGUUCUUUAAAGAAAUUGUGCACUUGCAUGGGGUACCUAAAAGCAUAGUGUCAGCUACGGAUAUUAAGUUCCUUAGUCACUUCUGGAGAGUCUUGCGGAGUAAGUUAGGCACGAAACUACUAUUUUCUACAACUUCUCAUCCACAAACAGAUGGCCAAACUAAAGUAGUGAAUAGGACUAUGACACAACUUUUGCACACCGUAGUUAAUAAAAAAAUGAAGAAUUGGGAAGAGUGCUUACCUUUCAUCGAAUUUGCAUAUAAUAGGGCCACACACUCCGCCACGUCGUUUUCUCCUUUUGAAAUUGUUUACGAUUUUAAUCCUAUAAUACAUAUGGAUUUAAUACCUUUUCCUAUUAAUGAACGAGGUAGCUUGGAUAGAAAAAGAAAAGGCCGAGUUGGUGAAGUCACUCCAUGAAAAGGUACGGGAACAAAUUGAGAAGAAAAGCAAGCCCUAUGCGGAGCAAGCAAAUAAGGGCACGAAAAAUGUUCGCAUUCGAACUAGGAGAUUGGGUUUGGAUGCACUUCAGAAAAGAGCUGUUCCCAGAGCAAAGAAAAUCAAAGUUGUUACCACGGGGAGAUGGACCGUUUCAAGUAGUUGAGAAGAUUAAUUACAAUGCAUACAAAUUGGAUCGUCCAGGUGAGUAUAACGUUUCGGCAACUUCUAAUAUAUCUGAUCUUUUUCUCUUUGCUGCAAGUUCAGAUUUGAGGACGAAUCCUUUCGAAGAGAGAGGGGAUGAUGUGAUCUAGGAGCCGCAAGCAACCAAAUCAAGUCCAACGUCAAGCCCGGGGAAAGAUCCGUUGAAAGUCGAAGGUGGACCUAUGACACGAGCAAGGACAAAGCAAGUGAAAGAGGCGAUAGGAUUACUCGUCAAGACAACCAUCAAUGAAAUCAUGUUCAGGACUCAAAAUGGGACAAGUUUCGUGUUCGGGUCAAAGACCGAAACCAAUUGGACCAACACGAUCCAAGCAGCUGAAGAUGGAGCUGGAGAGAAGAACCAUGCGACCGCAUGCUCAAAACCGUCCUACGGUCGCACGGAGUGAGGCAGGGAAUUAUUCGAGAUUUUCGAAUGUUCCAUGUGGCCGCAUGAUUUUACACCAUGCAACCGCAUUGUUAAAAUUUGACGCAAUUUUUUUUAUUUUAAUUGCGAAUUUUCUAUUUUUGAUAGAAUUUGAUACUUAGUAGAUUUCUUGCCAUAUUUGAAAUAUUAUGCACGUUUUUACCUAGUUUUUUAGACCUAGUAUAAAUACUAUUUUAUUUUCAAUUGUAAGAACCUUUUGACAUUUUUCGUAAUUUGAGAG
Molecule: long non-coding RNA, 3458 nt
Filed under: Olea europaea subsp. europaea
Lineage: Eukaryota; Viridiplantae; Streptophyta; Magnoliopsida; Lamiales; Oleaceae
Source: RNAcentral